GAUGAACGCUGGCGGCGUGCCUAACGCAUGCAAGUCGAGCGAACCCUUCGGGGUGAGCGGCGGACGGGUGAGUAACGCGUGGGUAACCUGCCCUGUACACACGGAUAACAUACCGAAAGGUAUGCUAAUACGGGAUAAAAUAAUAAAAUCGCAUGGUUUUAUUAUCAAAGCUGAGGCGGAACAGGAUGGACCCGCGUCUGAUUAGCUAGUUGGUGAGGUAAUGGCUCACCAAGGCGACGAUCAGUAGCCGACCUGAGAGGGUGAUCGGCCACAUUGGAACUGAGACACGGUCCAAACUCCUACGGGAGGCAGCAGUGGGGAAUAUUGCACAAUGGGCGAAAGCCUGAUGCAGCAACGCCGCGUGAGCGAUGAAGGCCUUCGGGUCGUAAAGCUCUGUCCUCAAGGAAGAUAAUGACGGUACUUGAGGAGGAAGCCCCGGCUAACUACGUGCCAGCAGCCGCGGUAAUACGUAGGGGGCUAGCGUUAUCCGGAAUUACUGGGCGUAAAGGGUGCGUAGGCGGUCUUUCAAGUCAGGAGUGAAAGGCUACGGCUCAACCGUAGUAAGCUCUUGAAACUGUAAGACUUGAGUGCAGGAGAGGAGAGUGGAAUUCCUAGUGUAGCGGUGAAAUGCGUAGAUAUUAGGAGGAACACCAGUUGCGAAGGCGGCUCUCUGGACUGUAACUGACGCUGAGGCACGAAAGCGUGGGGAGCAAACAGGAUUAGAUACCCUGGUAGUCC
This 738-nucleotide ribosomal RNA is filed under the name uncultured bacterium. RNAcentral describes it as "bacterial SSU rRNA". It matches the Rfam family "Bacterial small subunit ribosomal RNA", at positions 28 to 796 of the family's 1533-position model. The record is from RNAcentral.